Molecule: ribosomal RNA, 841 nt
Filed under: uncultured Alphaproteobacteria bacterium
Lineage: Bacteria; Pseudomonadati; Pseudomonadota; Alphaproteobacteria
Description: bacterial SSU rRNA
Rfam family: Bacterial small subunit ribosomal RNA
Source: RNAcentral
AACGCUGGCGGCACGCCAAACACAUGCAAGUCGAACGCGUGUAGCAAUACACGAGUGGCGGACGGGUGAGUAACGCGUGGGAACCUGCCCAGUGGUAGGGAAUAACUGCGGGAAACUGCAGCUAAUACCCUAUGAGCCCUACGGGGGAAAGAUUUAUCGCCAUUGGAGGGGCCCGCGUCGGAUUAGCUAGUUGGUAGGGUAACGGCCUACCAAGGCAACGAUCCGUAGCUGGUCUGAGAGGAUGAUCAGCCACACUGGGACUGAGAUACGGCCCAGACUCCUACGGAAGGCAGCAGUGGGGAAUAUUGGACAAUGGGGGAAACCCUGAUCCAGCAAUGCCGCGUGAGUGAAGAAGGCCUUAGGGUUGUAAAGCUCUUUCGGCGGGGACGAUGAUGACGGUACCCGCAGAAGAAGCCCCGGCUAACUUCGUGCCAGCAGCCGCGGUAAUACGAAGGGGGCUAGCGUUGUUCGGAAUCACUGGGCGUAAAGGGCGCGUAGGCGGCUUGACAAGUCAGGUGUGAAAGCCCCGGGCUCAACCCGGGAAUUGCACUUGAUACUGUCUCGCUAGAGUCCGGGAGAGGAUGGCGGAAUUCCCAGUGUAGAGGUGAAAUUCGUAGAUAUUGGGAAGAACACCGGUGGCGAAUGCGGCCAUCUGGACCGGUACUGACGCUGAGGCGCGGAAGCGUGGGGAGCAAACAGGAUUAGAUACUCUGGUAGUCCACGCCGUAAACGAUGAGUGCUAGACGUCGGGGGGUUCACCCUCCGGUGUCGCAGCUAACGCUUUAAGCACUCCGCCUGGAGAGUACGGUCGCAAGAUGAAAACUCAUAUGAAUGGACUGCG